Rhipicephalus microplus (southern cattle tick) is the source of this 374-nucleotide long non-coding RNA. The record is from RefSeq and is a predicted model, not a curated record. Lineage: Eukaryota; Metazoa; Arthropoda; Arachnida; Ixodida; Ixodidae.
GAUCAUGCACUGCCUUCUCGGUGUGCCCGAUGUGUACUGGAAGGACAAUGCCGACGGUGGGGGUCACGAACCACCACAGCAAGAAAGACCAGGUACGGCGACUGAAGAUCGCUGCGUCUCUCGAUGGAAGGAUGUCAAGAGGAGGCUAAAGCAAUCUAUCGGUGUGAGCUACUUGGUGCUUGGAAAUAAGAAGUGACAGAGCCACACGCUCUUGCUUCAGUGGCACGGUUUUCUUUUUUCUACAUCCUGCACACGAGCAUAGCUCUUGCUUUUUAUAUAUAUUGACACAACCAUUAUAUUUUAACUUGUACGAAGCUCGCUUAGCCCAAGCGAUGUGAUACAUCUAGUCAAUAAAUCAUUAUUUUCUAGUUUUA